UGGGGAAUAUUGCACAAUGGGGGAAACCCUGAUGCAGCGACGCCGCGUGAAGGAAGAAGUAUUUCGGUAUGUAAACUUCUAUCAGCAGGGAAGAAACUGACGGUACCUGACUAAGAAGCACCGGCUAAAUACGUGCCAGCAGCCGCGGUAAUACGUAUGGUGCAAGCGUUAUCCGGAUUUACUGGGUGUAAAGGGAGCGUAGACGGAGAGGCAAGUCUGGAGUGAAAACCCAGGGCUCAACCCUGGGACUGCUUUGGAAACUGCAAUUCUGGAGUGCCGGAGAGGUAAGCGGAAUUCCUAGUGUAGCGGUGAAAUGCGUAGAUAUUAGGAGGAACACCAGUGGCGAAGGCGGCUUACUGGACGGUGACUGACGUUGAGGCUCGAAAGCGUGGGGAGCAAACAG
RNAcentral lists this ribosomal RNA (403 nucleotides) under uncultured bacterium. RNAcentral describes it as "bacterial SSU rRNA". It matches the Rfam family "Bacterial small subunit ribosomal RNA", at positions 355 to 775 of the family's 1533-position model. The record is from RNAcentral.